CGGGGAAUUAUGAAUUAUUGUUAAUACGUAAUAUUAAUCAUAUGUACGGGGGAAAAAGAACAGAAAAAGGAAACAGAAAUUCGACAGGAUAAACGGGAAUCGGGGAAUUACGAAACUAUAAAACGGAUUCUGGUGUCUUGGGAAUUAGAAAACCGCUCCAUGAAUUAAAAAGUAAAGAAAUUUAGCGAAGUUUUCCUUUAUUAGUAGAGCAUAAAAAAGUCAAUCCACAUUGCUUAUGUCAGAUCAUUAAGUAAUAUUAAUAAUAAUAACAUUGCUUAUGUCAUUACUAAUAUACUUGCUAUAUCAUAAAACAAACUUAUGGACUAGAUGCAAGCCCAAGGCAGUCCUUAUGCUCCAUACGAUAUCUUAAAGUGAUUAUCCUAUUUUAAAUAUCUUACAAAGCAAAACUAACAAAACACAAAAUUCUUCAAAAUACGCAGAUUUUAAGUUAGCAAUUUAAGUUGGCAAGUACGUUUCUAAAGAGGGUCCUGAAGGGGUAAAAUGGGAACUGGGAUUGAUCUAAUUUUAGACUGGGAAAAUGGGAUUUGGCCACUGGGAAUGGGAAAUAAGUCCUCAAAAAUGGGAAUGGGAUUGAGGUAAUGCGAGUCGAUUCCCAAUUUUUCUACAUUUUAAGUGUUUUAAAAUAUAAUUUUGAUCCGUUUUCGGUGUCUUUGGUCAUGACUUUUGUUGUUAACUAUAUUAUUCACAGCACUAGCUGCGAACAGGCAUACUCUGGCGCCCGGAAUUCUGGGUUUUCUGAUUAUGUGUGUGUCAGAAUGCUGCAAAUGCCACUCUGAAUUAUAAAGGAUUUGUAGGGAUAGUAAAGGAUAUUUAAUGGUGUGCGACGGGUGAGAUCGAUGGCUUACAAAAUGUAAUCAAGACCCUCAUCAAGACGAACAACUUUUGUUAAUAUCUUCUUACCAAAAUCUGCAAGCGUAAGGUGUUAGGUUCUGCGCAUGCACAGACCUAUCUCCUUAAAUACGCAUAGCUUCCGUCUUCCCAUCAUACCUUGCGUAAUUUGUUCCCCCCCCCCCUUAAUAUUACGCAAUUUUACUAAAAAUUCGUAAGGCUCUGCGGAGGAGAGUGUGCAAAUGCCAUUUCCGGGAUUCAAAUUUAAAAAUUUUUGUGCCUUCGGCACGAGCCCCCUCAGUGUUUCAUAAAAGGUCCACCACUUGCACACACGGUGGCUUAAAAGGUCUUAAAACUGUUUAUUCUACCGAUAAAUAAAGGGUUUUUUAUUGACUGGGAUUUCAAUAACUCGGACUGGGAUUUCUAAUAAAAAUCCAACUGGGACUGGGAUUUUGCCAAAAUUUCAGGUGGGAAAUGGGAUUGGGACCCCCCCUUCAGGACCCUCUCUAAAGGACCCAGCCGAACUCUCCUACAAGCCUUUGGACGUGCUCCACCUUGAAAAGGGGAGGAAAGUCUGGAGGAACGACGAGAACAUCGCCAAGAAAGCUUGGAUACUUUGCUCUGAUGCAGGCUGAUCGGAGAUGAAAAUGCACGUUCUGAGGCUCACUUGAAAACUGGAUUUGUCCUGUAUUUCGGUCUCGGAACUGUCGUAUGUCGCGGUAUUCAACAAUUAAAUCAUCAGGUAAAGCUUGAGGAGGAUUCUUUAUUUCUCCGUUGCAUCCGUAACAUCGAUAUACCCGUGUCCCUGCUACCCACUUUGGUUUGAACGACGAACUUGAUUGAAUCAGAUUACGGUUGGAGAAGACAUUCUGAAUAACAGGUUGAUGUGGAGCUGCUUCGGGGAAAAGACUAUUAAGCCUGUUGUUUCCUGUUUGUUGCUGUAUGGCAGGCAAGAUUGAAACCGGAGCUACGUUUAGUGGAAAUACCGGUGCUUGUGGAUUGACGAAGACAGAUCGAUUACCUUCUAGGAGGUCCCUAGUCUCAGUAACAGGAGGUUUCUGCGAGUUGCUUUUCUUUCGAUUGCUAGGCUUCUUCUCCGCGAUUUUUGGAGCACUUCGUAAUGCCAUGUCCAAUACUUUGUCUUUAUGCCCUCUUUUAGAUCUGCCCUUCUUUUGGAUCGGUACCAUGCCAAGAACUCGUUUAAUGAUCCACGGACGUGCGCUACUACGCAGGCCCGAUCACACUUCAAACUACCGCCGUUUCAAUGUGUAACGAUAUGUAUGUUGUUUGCAUAUCCAGCGACAAUAAACGUCUAAACGAUC
RNAcentral lists this long non-coding RNA (2171 nucleotides) under Paramuricea clavata. The record is from RNAcentral. Lineage: Eukaryota; Metazoa; Cnidaria; Anthozoa; Malacalcyonacea; Plexauridae.